CACCGCGGUUAUACGAGAGACCCAAGUUGAUAAAAAACGGCGUAAAGAGUGGUUAAGACACCCCCCCCCCACUAAAGCCAAACGCUUUCAAAGCUGUUAUACGCACCCGAAGGUAUGAAGCCCAAACACGAAAGUAGCUUUACAAAAUCUGAAUCCACGAAAGCUAAGAAA
Molecule: ribosomal RNA, 171 nt
Filed under: Poecilopsetta plinthus (tile-colored righteye flounder)
Lineage: Eukaryota; Metazoa; Chordata; Actinopteri; Pleuronectiformes; Poecilopsettidae
Description: partial 12S ribosomal RNA
Source: RNAcentral